RNAcentral lists this ribosomal RNA (506 nucleotides) under uncultured bacterium. Its description in RNAcentral is "partial 16S ribosomal RNA". It matches the Rfam family "Bacterial small subunit ribosomal RNA", at positions 28 to 523 of the family's 1533-position model. The record is from RNAcentral.
GAUGAACGCUAGCUACAGGCUUAACACAUGCAAGUCGAGGGGUAACGAGAGGAAAGCUUGCUUUCCUUGUCGACGACCGGCGCACGGGUGAGUAACGCGUAUCCAACCUGCCCCCAACUAGGGAAUAACCUUGCGAAAGUAAGACUAAUACCCUAUAAUUUCCUCAGAUGACAUCUGACGAGGAAUAAAGAUUUAUCGGUUGUGGAUGGGGAUGCGUCUGAUUAGCUUGUUGGCGGGGUAACGGCCCACCAAGGCAACGAUCAGUAGGGGUUCUGAGAGGAAGGUCCCCCACAUUGGAACUGAGACACGGUCCAAACUCCUACGGGAGGCAGCAGUGAGGAAUAUUGGUCAAUGGGCGAAAGCCUGAACCAGCCAAGUAGCGUGCAGGAUGACGGCCCUAUGGGUUGUAAACUGCUUUUAUACAGGAAUAAAGUUAGCCACGUGUGGUUAUUUGUAGGUACUGUAUGAAUAAGGACCGGCUAAUUCCGUGCCAGCCGCCGCCGUAA